This 546-nucleotide ribosomal RNA is filed under the name uncultured Massilia sp. Its description in RNAcentral is "bacterial SSU rRNA". It matches the Rfam family "Bacterial small subunit ribosomal RNA", at positions 67 to 611 of the family's 1533-position model. The record is from RNAcentral. Lineage: Bacteria; Pseudomonadati; Pseudomonadota; Betaproteobacteria; Burkholderiales; Oxalobacteraceae.
CGGCAGCGCGGGGCAACCGGCGGCGAGUGGCGAACGGGUGAGUAAUACAUCGGAACGUACCCAGAAGUGGGGGAUAACGUAGCGAAAGUUACGCUAAUACCGCAUACGUUCUACGGAAGAAAGUGGGGGACCGCAAGGCCUCAUGCUUUUGGAGCGGCCGAUGUCUGAUUAGCUAGUUGGUGAGGUAAAGGCUCACCAAGGCGACGAUCAGUAGCUGGUCUGAGAGGACGACCAGCCACACUGGGACUGAGACACGGCCCAGACUCCUACGGGAGGCAGCAGUGGGGAAUUUUGGACAAUGGGCGCAAGCCUGAUCCAGCAAUGCCGCGUGAGUGAAGAAGGCCUUCGGGUUGUAAAGCUCUUUUGUCAGGGAAGAAACGGCCGGGGAUAAUACCUCUGGCUAAUGACGGUACCUGAAGAAUAAGCACCGGCUAACUACGUGCCAGCAGCCGCGGUAAUACGUAGGGUGCAAGCGUUAAUCGGAAUUACUGGGCGUAAAGCGUGCGCAGGCGGCUUUGUAAGUCUGACGUGAAAUCCCCGGGCUCA